UCAUACACAAUCAUCUGGUAUCUUCUAUGACUGAAGCUAUUAAAAAAAUAGUUAAUUUCAAACUGGUCCCUAUAUUAAAUUACAAAUAUAUUUCUACAAAAUUCAACUUUCAUAUUUUGUUCCUACAAAAGUUCUAAUAUUUUUGAAUAUAUCACUGCAGUUAGAAUCCGUUAGAAAGCUUAAGUUAACUAUAAAUUAAAUAUUUAAUUCUGAUUAGUUUGUAAGCUAAUUUGAAUAAAAAUUGUAAGUAUGGUUUGUAAUGUUAUACUACAAAAU
This 276-nucleotide long non-coding RNA is filed under the name Ananas comosus (pineapple). RNAcentral describes it as "long non-coding RNA (ACOM_LNC007882)". Lineage: Eukaryota; Viridiplantae; Streptophyta; Magnoliopsida; Poales; Bromeliaceae. The record is from RNAcentral.